This 429-nucleotide ribosomal RNA is filed under the name Fusobacteriota bacterium. Its description in RNAcentral is "Fusobacteria bacterium partial 16S ribosomal RNA". It matches the Rfam family "Bacterial small subunit ribosomal RNA", at positions 355 to 776 of the family's 1533-position model. Lineage: Bacteria; Fusobacteriati; Fusobacteriota. The record is from RNAcentral.
UGGGGAAUAUUGCGCAAUGGGCGAAAGCCUGACGCAGCGACGCCGCGUGAGGGAUGAAGGUUUUCGGAUCGUAAACCUCUGUCAGAAGGGAAGAAACCGCACUGUGCUAAUCAGCAGUGCCUUGACGGUACCUUCAAAGGAAGCACCGGCUAACUCCGUGCCAGCAGCCGCGGUAAUACGGAGGGUGCAAGCGUUAAUCGGAAUUACUGGGCGUAAAGCGCACGUAGGCUGCUUUGUAAGUCAGGGGUGAAAUCCCACGGCUCAACCGUGGAACUGCCUUUGUUACUGCUUAGCUUGAAUCCGGGAGAGGGUGGCGGAAUUCCAGGUGUAGGAGUGAAAUCCGUAGAUAUCUGGAGGAACAUCAGUGGCGAAGGCGGCCACCUGGACCGGUAUUGACGCUGAGGUGCGAAAGCGUGGGGAGCAAACAGG